CAAGCCCAGAUUAACAUGCUAAAAGCUCUUUCUUGAUUUUAUGGCUGGUGGUGCAUGCCCAUUCUUAGUUGGUGGAGUGAUUUAUCUGGUUAAUUCUGUUAUCGAUCGAGUGUCUCCCACGUUCGAUCGUACUCAUAAUCGCACCAGUUCUCUAAGGUGAAUAGUCUCUGGUCGAUGAAACAAUAUAGGUAAAGGAAGUUGACAGAAUAGAUCCAUAACCU
This 221-nucleotide long non-coding RNA is filed under the name Helianthus annuus (common sunflower). RNAcentral's name for it is "Eukaryotic small subunit ribosomal RNA". It matches the Rfam family "Eukaryotic small subunit ribosomal RNA", at positions 1230 to 1400 of the family's 1831-position model. The record is from RNAcentral. Lineage: Eukaryota; Viridiplantae; Streptophyta; Magnoliopsida; Asterales; Asteraceae.